Molecule: ribosomal RNA, 255 nt
Filed under: uncultured Staphylococcus sp.
Lineage: Bacteria; Bacillati; Bacillota; Bacilli; Caryophanales; Staphylococcaceae
Description: partial 16S ribosomal RNA
Rfam family: Bacterial small subunit ribosomal RNA
Source: RNAcentral
UGAGUAACACGUGGAUAACCUACCUAUAAGACUGGGAUAACUUCGGGAAACCGGAGCUAAUACCGGAUAAUAUAUUGAACCGCAUGGUUCAAUAGUGAAAGACGGUUUUGCUGUCACUUAUAGAUGGAUCCGCGCCGCAUUAGCUAGUUGGUAAGGUAACGGCUUACCAAGGCAACGAUGCGUAGCCGACCUGAGAGGGUGAUCGGCCACACUGGAACUGAGACACGGUCCAGACUCCUACGGGAGGCAGCAGCU